Molecule: ribosomal RNA, 460 nt
Filed under: uncultured bacterium
Lineage: Bacteria
Description: partial 16S ribosomal RNA
Rfam family: Bacterial small subunit ribosomal RNA
Source: RNAcentral
CCUACGGGAGGCUGCAGUGAGGAAUAUUGGUCAAUGGGCUUACGCCUGAACCAGCCAAGUAGCGUGAGGGAUGACUGCCCUAUGGGUUGUAAACCUCUUUUGUCAGGGAGCAAUUGGCGCUACGUGUAGCGUUAUCGAUAGUACCUGAAGAUAAAGCAUCGGCAAACUCCGUCCCAGCAGCGGCGGUAAUCGGGAGGAUGCGAGCUUUAUCCGAAUUUAUUGGGUUUAAAGGGUGCGUAGGCGGAAUGCCAAGUCAGCGGUAAAAUCGGGGGGCUCAACCUCGCUCCGCAGUUGAAACUGGCGUUCUUGAGUGGGCGAGAGGUAUGCGGAAUGCGUGGUGUAGCGGUGAAAUGCAUAGAUAUCACGCAGAACUCCGAUUGCGAAGGCAGCAUACCGGCGCCCAACUGACGCUGAAGCACGAAAGCGUGGGUAUCGAACAGGAUUAGAUACCCCAGUAGUC